This 378-nucleotide unclassified non-coding RNA is filed under the name uncultured bacterium. RNAcentral's name for it is "contains 16S-23S intergenic spacer region". The record is from RNAcentral.
UCUGGCUUAUAGCCCAGCGGUCUCACUAGAGUCCCCAACUUAAUGCUGGUAACUAGUGACGAGGGUUGCGCUCGUUGCGGGACUUAACCCAACAUCUCACAACACGAGCUGACGACAGCCAUGCAGCACCUGUCUCCGCGUCCCCGAAGGGAACCCCCGCUUUCACGGGGUGGCGCGGGAUGUCAAGCCUAGGUAAGGUUUUUCGCGUAGCAUCGAAUUAAACCACAUGCUCCGCUGCUUGUGCGGGUCCCCGUCAAUUCCUUUGAGUUUUAGCCUUGCGGCCGUACUCCCCAGGCGGGGCACUUAAUGCGUUAGCGUCGGCACGGGGGGAGUCGACACCCCCCACACCUAGUGCCCAUCGUUUACGGCGUGGACUAC